AUUGAACGCUGGCGGAAUGCUUUACACAUGCAAGUCGAACGGUAGAGGGGGCAACCCCUCGAGAGUGGCGAACGGGUGAGUAAUAUAUCGGAACGUGCCCAGUCGUGGGGGAUAACGUAGCGAAAGUUACGCUAAUACCGCAUACGAUCUAAGGAUGAAAGCGGGGGAUCGCAAGACCUCGCGCGAUUGGAGCGGCCGAUAUCAGACUAGGUAGUUGGUGGGGUAAAGGCUCACCAAGCCAACGAUCUGUAGCUGGUCUGAGAGGACGACCAGCCACACUGGAACUGAGACACGGUCCAGACUCCUACGGGGGGCAGCAGUGGGGAAUUUUGGACAAUGGACGCAAGUCUGAUCCAGCCAUUCCGCGUGCAGGAUGAAGGCCCUCGGGUUGUAAACUGCUUUUGUACGGAACGAAAAGGUCUCUCUUAAUACGGGGGACUCAUGACGGUACCGUAAGAAUAAGCACCGGCUAACUACGUGCCAGCAGCCGCCGUAA
RNAcentral lists this ribosomal RNA (496 nucleotides) under uncultured bacterium. Its description in RNAcentral is "partial 16S ribosomal RNA". It matches the Rfam family "Bacterial small subunit ribosomal RNA", at positions 30 to 523 of the family's 1533-position model. The record is from RNAcentral.